AAACCAUGUUGUGGGCAUGAACUGACCAAAUCCUUGAACCUUUCCCAACAUUGGUAAAAUGUUUCAUCCUCCUUUUGGGGUGAAGUUCAUGAUUGCUUUUCUAAGGGU
Magnolia sinica is the source of this 108-nucleotide small nucleolar RNA. Lineage: Eukaryota; Viridiplantae; Streptophyta; Magnoliopsida; Magnoliales; Magnoliaceae. The record is from RefSeq and is a predicted model, not a curated record.